RNAcentral lists this ribosomal RNA (376 nucleotides) under uncultured bacterium. Its description in RNAcentral is "bacterial SSU rRNA". It matches the Rfam family "Bacterial small subunit ribosomal RNA", at positions 524 to 898 of the family's 1533-position model. The record is from RNAcentral.
UACGUAGGGUGCGAGCGUUAAUCGGAAUUACUGGGCGUAAAGCGUGCGCAGGCGGUUCUGUAAGUCAGAUGUGAAAUCCCCGGGCUCAACCUGGGAACUGCGUUUGAAACUACAGGACUAGAGUAUGGCAGAGGGGGGUAGAAUUCCACGUGUAGCAGUGAAAUGCGUAGAGAUGUGGAGGAAUACCAAUGGCGAAGGCAGCCCCCUGGGUCAAUACUGACGCUCAUGCACGAAAGCGUGGGGAGCAAACAGGAUUAGAUACCCUGGUAGUCCACGCCCUAAACGAUGUCUACUAGUUGUUGGGAGAGUAAAAUCUCUUAGUAACGCAGCUAACGCGCGAAGUAGACCGCCUGGGGAGUACGGUCGCAAGAUUAAA